CUAGAGUAAGAGUGGAAAAGAGGAAAGGGUGAGGUAAUGAGAGAGGGCUAGAGUAAGAGUGGAAAAGAGUAAAGGGUGAGGUAAUGAGAGAGGGCUAGAGUAUGAGUGGAAAAUAUGAAAGGGUGAGGUAAUGAGAGAGGGCUAGAGUAUGAGUGGAAAAGAGGAAAGGGUGAGGGAAUGAGAGAGGGCUAGAGUAAGAGUGGAAAAGAGGAAAGGGUGAGGUAAUGAGAGAGGGCUAGAGUAAGAGUGGAAAAGAGGAAAGGGUGAGGUAAUGAGAGAGGGCUAGAGUAUGAGUGGAAAAGAGGAAAGGGUGAGGUAAUGAGAGAGGGCUAGAGUAAGAGUGGAAAAGAGGAAAGGGUGAGGUAAUGAGAGAGGGCUAGAGUAAGAGUGGAAAAGAGGAAAGGGUGAGGUAAUGAGAGAGGGCUAGAGUAAGAGUGGAAAAGAGGAAAGGGUGAGGUAAUGAGAGAGGGCUAGAGUAAGAGUGGAAAAGAGGAAAGGGUGAGGUAAUGAGAGAGGGCUAGAGUAA
Long non-coding RNA from Oncorhynchus keta (chum salmon), 526 nucleotides. RefSeq lists it as uncharacterized. Lineage: Eukaryota; Metazoa; Chordata; Actinopteri; Salmoniformes; Salmonidae. The record is from RefSeq and is a predicted model, not a curated record. The transcript is spliced from 3 exons.